This 1153-nucleotide long non-coding RNA is filed under the name Panax ginseng (ginseng). RNAcentral's name for it is "long non-coding RNA (PGIN_LNC008378)". Lineage: Eukaryota; Viridiplantae; Streptophyta; Magnoliopsida; Apiales; Araliaceae. The record is from RNAcentral.
CCAAACUUAAAUUGUUGCAUGUCCUCAAACAACAAACACAAAACAAUAAUAACAAUAUGGAAACGACAACUCAUGCAAAUGCAACUAACUAAAUGAACGUAAUUCCAGCAAUCCAAUAGCUCACGUAUAUCCAUAGGCCUCAAAAAAAUCACAAAAACAUGCUAAUACAUCAUGUGAAAGCAGAUCAAUAAUAUCUCCAACAACUAAUAAAUCUGAAUCUGUUAUUACUGACAUUGUGAGUGUGUGUUUAACAACCAUGCUAACCCAUGAAAGGAAAAAAUAUGAAAGAUAAUAAAUUUCUUAGUAAGAUUCAUACAGUGUAAACUUGAGAACUCAUCAAAUAUACUUGUUUCAACUGAAAUCAAACAAUCACCCUAAUUCAAGAGUCAAAAUGAAAUACUUAGGCUUUUCUUUUUUUCUCUUUUUUUUCUCAUAACGGGGGCUUUUGCACUUUUCCCGCUGUAUUUGUAUUUAUUUUUUUUAUUUUUUUUUAAAUAUACAUAAAUGAUUGUGCAAUGUCUCAUCCCAUUAGGCUAACAGUGUUACCCCUUAGCGAGCUUUCGACCAACGACUCCCAUACCAUAAAAGACCUUAGGGCGCUAGGUGUAAAGAUAAUCCCCUCGGGCGUACUUACUCAAGUAACAAAGGCCCCGAAACAAGACUAGUCACCAUGUAUACCCCUUUUUUUUUAGCCUAUAUAUUCCAAAUAUUUUCCCCCCAAACUCGAGUUUAUGUAUAAAUUCAGUCUUCACUAGCUAUUCAAAUUGUCCCUUCAUUUCACUAGCAAUCAUCCUUUAGAACUCUAUUAUCUAACCAUUUAAACUAUCAUAGCCAACAUGGUCGUUUUCAAAGUGCUUUCCUAUAAUAUCAGUGUCAAACAGAUAAAGAUUAAAUUUAUGUCAAGAAAAUCAUAUUACUGACUCAACAAUCCUUACUAGACUUGUUCAUGCAAUUUUAAAUUCAUCAUGGGCCCUCGAAUAAACGCACUAACAAACGCUGGAAUUAUCAUGCAAUCCUAAAUGCAAUGUUUAACUAACAAUAACAAUCCAAAUCCACAAACUAAUAACAAACUACAACUUCAAAAAUAAAACUUAACUACCCCCAAACUAAUCUAGAGCAAUGUCCUCAUGCGAAAAAUAUAGCAAAAUAAAAC